Sardina pilchardus (European sardine) is the source of this 884-nucleotide long non-coding RNA. RefSeq lists it as uncharacterized. Lineage: Eukaryota; Metazoa; Chordata; Actinopteri; Clupeiformes; Clupeidae. The transcript is spliced from 3 exons. The record is from RefSeq and is a predicted model, not a curated record.
UGGUUACCUGGCGGGCAACAAACGUUGGAAAAUGGCGACGAACAGCGGCCAGCAGACAUGAAUACUAGAAUCAAUCAACUAUUUAGACCAUAUUAUGUCAGACAAUGUCAAUAUUAGGUAUCAAGAAAAGAUAUCUAUACUCGGAACUUGUGAUCCAUACACAGCACCUGCUGAUUUAUUCAUUUAUUUGAAGCUGGCAAAGUCUCUACCAAACAUUUAGUGUGGACAGACGGACGGCGCUACCUAUGGACGUUAGCAGCUACUGAUGAUAGACAUCGGACUUGCUUUUUACUCUCAGAACACUGCAUCUGUGCCUCCCUUUAGGUUUGAGCCCUCAUCCUGCCAACUGACCAUGUGGCCCUCCGUUGCCACAGAACUGGCCCUUGAGUACUACCAGAAGGGGACUACUGCCUGGAGGAUCAAGAGGGAUCAAGAGGGCCGACAGAAUGCACAUGGAGGCAAGGGAUACAGUAACACUGAUAGGAAGUGACCCCAGAGCUGUUGAGCGUGAGGUGCGCAGGCUGAUGGGUCAGGCGUCAAUGCAGCUGUGUGAGCAAAAUCCAAGGAUACUCUCCCAAUGGUCUGGAGGGAGAGGAGGCCUCGCUGCUGGCUCCAAAGCAGGUGCAGUUUGAUACAGUUUUCCACGGUUGAAGUGAAGAGGACUUGGAUGCAGAGAAUGCGUGCUCAGAGCUGAAAUUCAAACAUCUCCAAGACCUGAAGGAAGUCACCCCAAAGGACUUUCACAGCUUUUACGUCAAUUUGCUUCACUAAUAUAGGAUGGCAAUGUAACAAAACACACAGAGCCUCACAGAUACAUGCACACAGACACACAGACCCACCCUGCUCACAAACACAAAUACACUUAGUGUAAGGCUUAGUAAAAC